Molecule: non-coding RNA, 29 nt
Filed under: Homo sapiens (human)
Lineage: Eukaryota; Metazoa; Chordata; Mammalia; Primates; Hominidae
Source: RNAcentral
GGGGUUUUUCUUGAGCCUUCUUCCUGCCU